Molecule: unclassified non-coding RNA, 336 nt
Filed under: soil metagenome
Description: partial contains 5.8S ribosomal RNA, internal transcribed spacer 2, and large subunit ribosomal RNA
Rfam family: 5.8S ribosomal RNA (bases 1-120)
Source: RNAcentral
GAUGAAGAACGUAGCGAAAUGCGAUAAGUAAUGUGAAUUGCAGAAUUCAGUGAAUCAUCGAAUCUUUGAACGCACAUUGCGCCCCUUGGUAUUCCGGGGGGCAUGCCUGUUCGAGCGUCAUUUCAACCCUCAAGCUCUGCUUGGUAUUGGGCACCGUCCUUUGCGGGCGCGCCUCAAAGACCUCGGCGGUGGCGUCUUGCCUCAAGCGUAGUAGAAUACACCUCGCUUCGGAGCGUAAGGCGUCGCCCGCCGGACGAACCUUCUGAACUUUUCUCAAGGUUGACCUCGGAUCAGGUAGGGAUACCCGCUGAACUUAAGCAUAUCAAUAGCGGAGGA